ACUAAGCUUCUUUGCUCGGCCGGUUCGCGAACCCUGUUCUCCGUCAAUCCUCGCUGCGGCAAGUAACUUUCUCCCCUGUCCCUUUUUAUUUUCGUUUUCAAAAUUAGGGUUUGUUCAUUUUUCAUUUUUGCAGAGAAAGCCAAAGAAAUUGUUGGCUGACAAGAUUAGGAGAAAAUACAUACGUUUAUCUCGGAGACUUCCUCCACCCUUUUGAAGGGCGCAUAUACCAGUAAAAAACCGUACUGUUAUAAUACUCGAGACAGAUACUGGAGAACAAUACGAAGCCAAUUAUCUGCCUCAAUAUCGUGGACUCAGUGGUGGGUGGAAAAGGUUUGCCAUAGUUCUGAAAUUGGAAGGAGAUACUGUUGUUUUUCAACUAGUUGAACCUGCCAAAUUUAAGUCUACCUCUUCUAGAAUCAAAUCACUAAACUAGUUGAAGCUGAGGAUAAAAGCUGCUAAUGAAGCUGAGGCGGCUUGCCAACGGCGUCUCUCUGUUGCUGAGGCUGAAAUAGCUGAUUUAAGAUCCAAAUUGGAUACUACUGAAAGCAUGGAAGGCAAGCAUUCGUUUCUGUGCCUAGCACUUUUCCUGUGCCUGGAGAAGAACUGAUGUUUUGAUGAUUGUAAGAGGGGCAAGGAGAAGCUUGUUUGUGAUGCUGCUCAAGUACUGCUUUAUUUCGGAGUUGAACAAAUCAUCUAUGUUUCUGAAAUGACGCACUGCUAAAUAAAGGUCUACACUCCGAGGAAUGCGCCUAUACUAGUGAGGAAAUUGAUGUGGUUCGUGAGCAACGGGCUAAGUGUUUUACCCGCAAGUAUUUACUAUUGGCUUGAGCGCGCUUGAUCGAGGUGGUUUAGUUGUUAUAGAACAAUCGUUUACAUUAAAAUGUAUGCGUACAUUGAAAUUGGAACGUAUAUUUGAAUGUAGUACGUGCACUUUGGUUUUGGGAUAUAUAUAUAUGUAUACAAAACACCAGUUAUUAUUUUUUAUAUUUGUUGA
Long non-coding RNA from Spinacia oleracea (spinach), 994 nucleotides. RefSeq lists it as uncharacterized. The record is from RefSeq and is a predicted model, not a curated record. The transcript has 5 exons. Lineage: Eukaryota; Viridiplantae; Streptophyta; Magnoliopsida; Caryophyllales; Amaranthaceae.